GAUUACACUACCCACAACCCCCUCCUACUGCAGUAUGUACAGGAGGAGGUAGGACUACACUACCCACAACCCCCUCCUACUGCAGUACAUACAGGAGGAGGUAGGACUACACUACCCACAACCACAGUUCCCUAAAGGCAGGGUUGGGUAGGUAAGUACCCCGUUAGAGGGUUGGGUAGGUUAGUACCCCGUUAGAGGGUUGGGUAGGUUAGUACCCUGUUAGUUAGAGGGUUGGGUAGGUUAGUACCCUGUUAGAGGGUUGGGUAGGUUAGUACCCUGUUAGGGGGUUGGGUAGGUUAGUACCCCGUUAGAGGGUUGGGUAGGUUAGUACCCUGUUAGAGGGUUGGGUAGGUUAGUACCCCGUUAGAGGGUUGGGUAGGUU
This 382-nucleotide long non-coding RNA is filed under the name Salmo salar (Atlantic salmon). Its description in RNAcentral is "lncRNA (ENSSSAG00000086290.1)". The record is from RNAcentral. Lineage: Eukaryota; Metazoa; Chordata; Actinopteri; Salmoniformes; Salmonidae.